CCUGGCUCAGGACGAACGCUGGCGGCAUGCCUAAUACAUGCAAGUCGAGCGGAGUUGUUUUGGAAGCUUGCUUCCAAAACAAUUUAGCGGCGGACGGGUGAGUAACACGUAGGUAACCUGCCUGUAAGACUGGGAUAACUACCGGAAACGGUAGCUAAUACCGGAUAACUUGUUUCUUCUCAUGAAGAGACAAUGAAAGGCGGAGUAAUCUGCCACUUAUAGAUGGGCCUGCGGCGCAUUAGCUAGUUGGUGAGGUAACGGCUCACCAAGGCGACGAUGCGUAGCCGACCUGAGAGGGUGAACGGCCACACUGGGACUGAGACACGGCCCAGACUCCUACGGGAGGCAGCAGUAGGGAAUCUUCCGCAAUGGACGAAAGUCUGACGGAGCAAUGCCGCGUGAGUGAUGAAGGUUUUCGGAUCGUAAAGCUCUGUUGCCAGGGAAGAACACUUGGGAGAGUAACUGCUCUCAAGGUGACGGUACCUGAGAAGAAAGCCCCGG
Molecule: ribosomal RNA, 501 nt
Filed under: Paenibacillaceae bacterium CL6.73
Lineage: Bacteria; Bacillati; Bacillota; Bacilli; Caryophanales; Paenibacillaceae
Description: bacterial SSU rRNA
Rfam family: Bacterial small subunit ribosomal RNA
Source: RNAcentral